UGGUUUGUUUUGGGUCGUUCGGGGGUUUUUUGAGGGGGGUGUGUAUAAAUCUGGGCUGGAGUUCCACGGCUCCGUGCCCGGAGUUUGACGCUCAGCUCCUGCGGUGCCACGGGCACACGCGGCCGGUGGGAGGGAAGGAGAAUAGAAAGCCAGAGGGGUAGAGACCCCCUUUUCUCCCUCCCCUCUCCCCCAAAAGCCACCUCUUUGAGCACCGUGCCACCGGCAGAGCUGUCACUCGAGGAAAGAUAGGCACCGAUCGGGUUUCCAAACUCCCUCCGCGUUAUUGGCGAGCAGUUGUGAGCAGCCUCGGGGGCGCCUGUCACAUCUGUGCGCAUCUCUGACCCUGAGCUUUGCUGCGCAUCGAAUGUUCUCCCCCGGCUCGCGAAAAGGAUGGGUUUCUUUGCCUUACAUCACUCUGCGACCGAAUCUCCCCGAUCUGGCCCCAAAACACCCGGGGAUGGAGCUCUAAACACAGCACAAAGCACCCGUGAAAAAAUCACGUUCAAAGCGUUCGCCACCGGCAGCCUUUCCACAAGGAAAUAAAAUAUCCCAGAGUCAAAAAAACCCCAAAACUCUCCGUGGAAAUCAAACUAUUUCCCUUCAAAGAAAACCAGUCCCUUCACGAGUGCCCUUUCCCCCUCUGGCAAUAUCUGUUAGGAGCGGGAAGAUUUGGUUUCCGAUGCAUUUAUUACAGCUAGCAAAAGUUAAAAAUGGGAAUAUAUCUCUCGGGGUCCUAUAGGCCUCGUCGUGGGAAUAGCAGAAAUGUUGGAGGGUUUUAAUCCGAGCCCACGAGCUGGGGAAAGGAGAGUUUUGGGGAGGAAAAGCCUGGUGUACGAGGAGGAGGAGGAGGAUGGUGUGGGGGAAACGGGACUCGUGUUUGGUGGUGUUUGCUCGUGGUUUGGGUGGGUGAAUCGAGUCCUCCCCCAGACCCCGACGGGCUGAGAUGAAAAGCAGGGAGAAAAAGAAAAAAUGGCAAAAAUUGAACUAUCAUCUGGCGCAAUCAGCCUCUCCCAUCCCGUUCUGAGCCCGCUUUACCGGCCCCGGCCCCGCCGCGCUUCCCACCCGGCUCCUUCCCAAACCCGCUCCCCUUCCCUCCCCCUGCCCCAAACUCGGGCCGUGUUUUGUGUAAAAAUAGACAAAUCCGAGCUUUCUUCCUUUUCCUGCGCCGAAGGUAUUUUUACUAGCUAAUUGCUUAAGUGAAGUCAACUCUGCGAGCAGGCCGGGUGUAACCCGAGGAUGGAAAUGUAUAUAGGUGCUAUUGUUAGAGGGUGCUGCUCCGAGAGGGGCCGGGGUGUUCCUGCGAGCCCGGACCACCCAGGGCGAGGGGAGUGACCGCCCCGUGUCCCCCUCCCCGCUGUCCUGCUUUGCAUUAACACCCCCCGCGGGACCCCCCCUGCUCCCCAGCACCGGCCUUUUCCCCUCGCCUGCCUCGGGUUUUUUUUUUUUUCCAGUCGCCGCCAUCCCCGUGGCCGCUGGCCCCAAAUCCGCGGCGAAUCGAUCCCUAAAUGUUUAUUUAAAGGCGAGGGGGUGCAUUCGAGCGAGGGGCUCGAGGAUGGAGAGAGGAGAGCUGGGGGAAGGUGGAAGCACCGAGAGAUGUUUUUAGGGAGACGCACGCACACUCCAAACUAAUUUUUUUGCGGGUCCAUCACACGGCAAGGCUUUGCCCCCCACUCGUGGGAUCUUUCCCAGUCGCAGCCUCGGCCUCUCCCAUUCCUGGAGGCAAAGCCCAACGGGCCCUGGAGAAGAAUUUAGGAGAGCAGAAGCCGAAAUUGGGAGCUGAGCAGAGCUGCCCGAGUGUCUGAGGCGGCUGCGGGGAGGUGCGGGCUGGCUGUCACCGCCGUGCCUCAGGCAGAAGUUCGGGGCUUUGGUCAAAAAGGGAAAAAAAAAAGAAAAAAAGGAAAAUUUUAAUCUCCCCUUUUUGUCUCCCUUUUCCCCCUCUGCCCGUCCCGAGUCUCCCCCCCGCGCCCUUCGAGCCCAGAUUUUCCAUGACGUCCUUCGAUGAAAUAUUGCAGCACAGGAAUUUACAGCCUCCUUUAGCUCGGGAAUUUUUUUCUGUGGAGUUUUCUGGCAGGAGCCGGUCCCUGCAAUACAAAUCGGUUCCAGCGAUAAUAAGCUCCGAGCGCUACCACUCAGACACAAUCGCUUCCCACAGAGAUCUUCCAAAUAUCUGCGGGUAUUUAUAUCCCCGCUCAGGGACGGAUAGCUAGAAUGCUUUCCCGCGGGGAUGCUUUUGGGCUGGCUGGGAUUCAGAGCCGAAGAAUUGGGUACCCAGAGAAGCAGCGGAGUUGAGCCGCAGCAGAGCUGGGACCCGGCGAGUGAUGCUCCCACAUCCACAAAUUACAAAUUCGCCCUUAAAAGAAGCUCGAAUUGUAAAUCCAGGUGUAAAUCCAGGUGUAAAUCCAGGUGUAAAUCCGCUCCUGAGACAUUCAGGCUUUCCUGAACGAGGUUUCUUCCCUGGAGGCCCGCGGUUGGGGAUACUCCCAAAACAAACAGAACCCCCGGGAAGGGA
This is a long non-coding RNA of Poecile atricapillus (Black-capped chickadee), 2509 nucleotides long. RefSeq lists it as uncharacterized. The transcript has 3 exons. The record is from RefSeq and is a predicted model, not a curated record. NCBI's taxonomy places the organism in Eukaryota, Metazoa, Chordata, Aves, Passeriformes, Paridae.